AAACAUCUUUGGGCACCAGUUUCCCGUUUGGCAAGAGCUGGGACUAUCCCAGUGCCUACAUAUUGCAAAAGUUCAUGUCUGUGUAACCUGAGCAAUGGUACAAGGGCCAUUCGCCUGUCCAACAAUUAACAGCAACAAUAGGUUUAAAGCACAGGAUUAACCUGCCCCCAGCAAUGUCAGCUCCACCAUGUUCUUUGUUAGCAGUCUCUUCAACUGUUGAUG
This is a non-coding RNA of Pelobates cultripes (western spadefoot toad), 222 nucleotides long. Lineage: Eukaryota; Metazoa; Chordata; Amphibia; Anura; Pelobatidae. The record is from the annotation of a GenBank genome assembly.